AAGAAAUUAACGAAGAUUUCCCCAGUAACGGCGAGUGAAAAGGAAUCAAGUUCAGCGCCGAAUCCCUUAGCCCAUGGUUAAGGGACCUGUGGCGUGAAGGAGAGCCUAUCUGUCGGGUUCUAAGCCUCGGAAGCUCCCUCGAAUGGGACCCCGAAGCAGGUGCGAGGCCUGUAACGAGGCGAAGCCCGUCAGUUUGAGCCUUCGUAGAGUCGGGUUACUUGAGAGUGUAGCCCUAAGCGGAAGGUAAACCCCUUCUAAAGCUAAAUAUGACCACGAGACCGAUAGCGAACAAGUACCGCGAGGGAAAGUUGAAAAGAACUUUGAAGAGAGAGUUCAAAAGGGCGUGAAACCGCUUAGAAGAAAACGGACGGAGCCGUCAGGAGCCGUCGAGAAUCAGUCGUACGCGUCGCGAACGAUUCGUUUUAGUUGGAACGAAAGUCCAAACUAGAGCGCGUGCAAGUAGCGAUCGCACGACGCAUUUCUCGACGGUAAGCACUGCGACCGAUACGAAAGGUCAGCGAAGCGAACGGAUUGAGGUCGAGAACCGUUAAAAGUUCCUCGUUACCAGUCUGUUCGUCUCGAGUCGCUGAACCGCAGUAUGUAUCGAGCGCCUCGCGUAUGUGCGUCGGCGAAAACGCUCGCUCGAGUGAUGGAUAGUCGAUCGAUUCUUGUUCGAACUCUGCUCGCAGAUUCGGGCGAAUCACGAUCUUAUGGUCGGCUUUUGAAAUCAUCGGCGACGCUCCGACUAUUUUGCACAGGCGUCCGCAGUGUCAGUGUCGGUCACCCGUCCGACCCGUCUUGAAACACGGACCAAGGAGUCUAACAUAUGCGCGAGCUAAUGGGUGGAAAACCCAAAGGCGCAAUAAAAGUAAACGUCAUCUUUAGGUGACUAAGAUACGAUCCUAGACGCCUCAAAAGGGCACUAGGCGCAGUAUCGUCCCGUCUCGACCGCACGUCGGUAGGGCGGAGAUAGGGCGCAUACGUUGGGACCCGAAAGAUGGUGAACUAUGCCUGAGCAGAGCGAAGCCAGAGGAAACUCUGGUGGAGGUUCGUAGCGGUUCUGACGUGCAAAUCGAUCGUCAGACUUGGGUAU
This 1093-nucleotide ribosomal RNA is filed under the name Tylencholaimus mirabilis. Its description in RNAcentral is "LSU rRNA". It matches the Rfam family "Eukaryotic large subunit ribosomal RNA", at positions 59 to 918 of the family's 3401-position model. Lineage: Eukaryota; Metazoa; Nematoda; Enoplea; Dorylaimida; Tylencholaimidae. The record is from RNAcentral.